GAUGAACGCUGGCGGCGUGCCUAAUACAUGCAAGUCGAGCGAACGGACGAGAAGCUUGCUUCCCUGAUGUUGGCGGCGGACGGGUGAGUAACACGUGGAUAACCUACCUAUAAGACUGGGAUAACUUCGGGAAACCGGAGCUAAUACCGGAUGAUAUUUUGAACCGCAUGGUUCAAAAGUGAAAGACGGUCUUGCUGUCACUUGUAGAUGGAUCCGCGCUGCAUUAGCUAGUUGGUAAGGUAACGGCUUACCAAGGCAACGAUGCAUAGCCGACCUGAGAGGGUGAUCGGCCACACUGGAACUGAGACACGGUCCAGACUCCUACGGGAGGCAGCAGUAGGGAAUCUUCCGCAAAGGGCGAAAGCCUGGCGGAGCAACGCCGCGUGAGUGAUGAAGGUCUUCGGAUCGUAAAACUCUGUUAUUAGGGAAGAACAUAUGUGUAAGUAACUGUGCACAUCUUGACGGUACCUAAUCAGAAAGCCACGGCUAACUACGUG
RNAcentral lists this ribosomal RNA (497 nucleotides) under uncultured bacterium. Its description in RNAcentral is "partial 16S ribosomal RNA". It matches the Rfam family "Bacterial small subunit ribosomal RNA", at positions 28 to 507 of the family's 1533-position model. The record is from RNAcentral.